CCUCAUGAAAGCAGAAGUUGAUUUAUUAAUACCUGGGUGACCAGCAGACACAUUGUCGUGAAACACCUUCAUGAUAUUAACCCUUUCCCCCAAUGGAAUGAACAAUUUGUCCUGAGGUUUACCACAGGGCGCCUGAGACUGAGCCUCCAUGAUGGAGCCAAGCAGCGGAGAGGACAAUGAAAGGAUAGUGGAAGCAAUGAUACAUUCCGGGGGAAUGAUAUGGGACUUUUCUUGCUCUUGUAUAGACUCAGUAUCAAACUGUCUGGAUAAGGCGUCAGCCUUGACAUUUUUAGAACCAGGUCUAUAAGUAAUAAGAAAAUUCAAGCAAGAAAGGAACAGAGACCACCUAGCUUGUCUAGAAGACAAUCGUUUAGCAUCUCCUAUGUAAGCCUGGUUUUUGUGAUCAGUAAUGAUCAAAAGGGGGUCCUUGGAACUCUCUAAAAGAUGUCGCCACUCCUUGAGAGCUAGAAUAAUGGCCAACAAUUCCCUAUUGCCAAUAUCAUAAUUGCGCUCGGCAAGCGACAACUUUCUAGAGAAGUAACCACAAGGAUGCAAUGGAGUUUCC
Molecule: non-coding RNA, 565 nt
Organism: Pelobates cultripes (western spadefoot toad)
Lineage: Eukaryota; Metazoa; Chordata; Amphibia; Anura; Pelobatidae
Source: the annotation of a GenBank genome assembly